This 495-nucleotide ribosomal RNA is filed under the name uncultured bacterium. RNAcentral describes it as "partial 16S ribosomal RNA". It matches the Rfam family "Bacterial small subunit ribosomal RNA", at positions 28 to 507 of the family's 1533-position model. The record is from RNAcentral.
GACGAACGCUGGCGGCGUGCCUAAUACAUGCAAGUAGAACGCUGAAGGAGGAGCUUGCUUCUCUGGAUGAGUUGCGAACGGGUGAGUAACGCGUAGGUAACCUGCCUGGUAGCGGGGGAUAACUACUGGAAACGAUAGCUAAUACCGCAUAAGAGUAGAUGUUGCAUGACAUUUGCUUAAAAGGUGCAAUUGCAUCACUACCAGAUGGACCUGCGUUGUAUUAGCUAGUUGGUGGGGUAACGGCUCACCAAGGCGACGAUACAUAGCCGACCUGAGAGGGUGAUCGGCCACACUGGGACUGAGACACGGCCCAGACUCCUACGGGAGGCAGCAGUAGGGAAUCUUCGGCAAUGGACGGAAGUCUGACCGAGCAACGCCGCGUGAGUGAAGAAGGUUUUCGGAUCGUAAAGCUCUGUUGUAAGAGAAGAACGAGUGUGAGAGUGGAAAGUUCACACUGUGACGGUAUCUUACCAGAAAGGGACGGCUAACUACGUG